UCAGCCUCGAGGCACGGCUGUGAACCCUCCUCAGACAGCAGAGGGGACAUGCAGUCUGGCCCUGCAGCAGCUGCCGCAGCCAUUCCUGGAACAUGAACUGCAGGCCCUGGCCGAGGCCGAGGCCCGCCAGACGCAGACAGUGCGAAGCCCCAGGAGCCCAGGUGGUGGAUAAUUUUGGCUUUUUCAAAAGUGUCACAUAGGAGAAACAUGAUUCACAUAGUGCUCAACAUGUGCAAAUAUUUACCCUCAGAUAUCAACACAUCUGAAAAGGACUCAAUCUCACUCCAACACAAUCAGACAUAAUGAAAAUAUGGAUGAUGCCUACCCCUAUACUCACAGGGCAGAACUGACUGAAUGAGUAAAAUAUAACUAAAGUCACCCAAGAAAAUGAACCAUGAGCUAAUGGCAAGGAAGCAGACAGAGUCGUGACUGCAGAAGAGGCACUCAGCCAGUCAGAUCAUUUGAAGCGGUGUAAUAGAUGUCACAGCCAACUUGUCCUCAGAUCACAUAUGUCAAAGGGUAUCUCCAUAAUUUUAGCUGCUGGACUCACUAUACUACCUCUGGCAAAUUAAAUCAAAUGCUCUCACUCUUGGUGUAUUCAUUUUGAACCAAUAUGAAAACUGGCGGAGAUAACAGAGAUAGAUUCCACAGAGUCCC
Molecule: non-coding RNA, 657 nt
Organism: Odocoileus virginianus texanus
Lineage: Eukaryota; Metazoa; Chordata; Mammalia; Artiodactyla; Cervidae
Source: RefSeq, a predicted model, not a curated record